UACAGAGGUGCCAAGCGUUAGGCGGAAUCACUGGGCUUAAAGCGCGUGUAGGUGGACGGGUAAGUAUCUUGUGAAAUCCCACGGCUCAACCGUGGAACUGCUGGAUAUACUGCUUGUCUUGAGGCACUUAGGGGCAGCUGGAACAAAUGGUGGAGCGGUGAAAUGCGUAGAUAUCAUUUGGAACGCCAAAGGCGAAAGCAGGCUGCUGGGAGUGAUCUGACACUGAGACGCGAAAGCCAGGGGAGCAAACGGG
Molecule: ribosomal RNA, 253 nt
Filed under: uncultured bacterium
Lineage: Bacteria
Description: partial 16S ribosomal RNA
Rfam family: Bacterial small subunit ribosomal RNA
Source: RNAcentral